AUUGAACGCUGGCGGCAUGCCUAACACAUGCAAGUCGAACGAUGAUUAAGAGCUUGCUCUUAUGAUUAGUGGCGGACGGGUGAGUAAUGUAUAGGGAUCUGCCUGUUAGUGGGGGACAACAGCCGGAAACGGCUGCUAAUACCGCAUACGCUCUACGGAGGAAAGUGGGGGACCCUCGGGCCUCACGCUAACAGAUGAACCUAUAUUGGAUUAGCUAGUUGGUAGGGUAAAGGCCUACCAAGGCGACGAUCCAUAGCUGGUUUGAGAGAAUGAUCAGCCACACUGGGACUGAGACACGGCCCAGACUCCUACGGGAGGCAGCAGUGGGGAAUAUUGGACAAUGGGCGCAAGCCUGAUCCAGCAAUGCCGCGUGUGUGAAGAAGGCCUUCGGGUUGUAAAGCACUUUAAGUUGGGAGGAAAAGCUGAGGGUUAAUAGCCUUUAGUGUUGACGUUACCAACAGAAUAAGCACCGGCUAACUCCGCG
RNAcentral lists this ribosomal RNA (484 nucleotides) under uncultured bacterium. Its description in RNAcentral is "partial 16S ribosomal RNA". It matches the Rfam family "Bacterial small subunit ribosomal RNA", at positions 30 to 507 of the family's 1533-position model. The record is from RNAcentral.